Molecule: ribosomal RNA, 530 nt
Filed under: Golbachiella sp. n. 2 BFS-2018
Lineage: Eukaryota; Metazoa; Arthropoda; Insecta; Hymenoptera; Ichneumonidae
Description: partial 16S large subunit ribosomal RNA
Rfam family: Archaeal large subunit ribosomal RNA (bases 395-530)
Source: RNAcentral
AAACAUGUCUUGAAGAUUAUAAUUUUAAGUCUAAUCUGCUCCAUGAUUAAAUAUUAAAUAGCUGCAGAAUAUUAACUGUACAAAGGUAGCAUAAUCAAUAGUUUUUUAAUUAAAAGCUGGAAUGAAAGAUUUAAUAAAGUAAAAAGUGUCUCAAAUUUAAUAAAAUUAAAAUUUUUUUAUUAGUAAAAAUACUAAUAUAAUUUUGAAAGACGAGAAGACCCUAUAGAUUUUUAUAUUUUAUUUAUAAAUUAAUUUAAAUUUAUAAAUAAUAUUUAUUUAAUUAAAAUAUUAGAUUGGGGUAAUUAUUAAAUUUAUAAAAUUUUAAUAUUUAAAUAACAUUAAUUAAUGGUUAUAUGAUCUUAAAUUUUAAAAUAUAAGAACAAAAUACCUUAGGGAUAACAGCGUAAUUUUUUUAGAGAGAUCUUAUUAAUAAAAAAGUUUGCGACCUCGAUGUUGAAUUAAGAUAAAAUUUUAAUGAAGAAGUUAAAAAUUUUUGGUCUGUUCGACCAUUAAAAUCUUACGUGAUCUGA